Long non-coding RNA from Salmo salar (Atlantic salmon), 3325 nucleotides. RefSeq lists it as uncharacterized. The record is from RefSeq and is a predicted model, not a curated record. NCBI's taxonomy places the organism in Eukaryota, Metazoa, Chordata, Actinopteri, Salmoniformes, Salmonidae.
CCCUUGAUCUGCAUCUGAAAAAUCAAUAUAUGGAAGCAAGCUAAAUGUAGUGAUCAGUAAGCACUAUAUAACCUACGCUUUUGCUAUUUAUAAAAACGUUUGGCUGGUGUGCCAUCACCCAUCUGAGCAGUCGGCUGUGAAUGUCCUCACUGGCUAGUACAAUUAUGCUGACUGUGAUUUGGUUUCUGACCCCCACAGGAUGUGCGCUGAUGUCCAGGAUGUCCAGCCUCAGAGCGCCCCACUUCUUCAUCAGGUGGAUCUCUUCUCCCAGGAGGCGACAGCGGCUUACCACCAGACCCACAUCAUGCAGCAGCUGGAGAGCGAGAACCAGACAGAUAUUAUACAGCCAAAACUGAACCUCUGUGGACAUGCAAUGUGAUUCUGGGAUACAUUUAAAACACCAACCCCUUUUCUGGACUUCACGUCAUGUGGAUCGUCCUUUUAACCAAGCCUCACACUUACCUUGGGAAUGUAUUGACUGGUGGGGUACUUCUUGAACCAAGUGGUUUCACUGCCUAUGUACUGGCAUAGAAGAUUGUGUACAAGCCGAGAGUAGCACUGUGACUUUUCAUCUGUAAGAAAGAAAAGGUGAGUUGGCAAAGAAAGAGUCCUGUGUGUGGCGAGAACCAAGAAAAUAUUCUACAUUAAAGUGUCAGAGCUUAAUUUCUCCCACCAUCCAUUUGGCGUUGAAAUGUGAUGUCCAUGAUGUUACGCUCAGUCUGUUCACAGACCUCUCCUCCUAUAUAAGAGAGCAAAGCAUUAGAAAAACAGACAUUUGUCUUAAAGCAACCCUUUGAAAAAAAACUGCAGAGCAAAACUACUAUAAAACAUAGUAACACAUUUAGUGCAAGGAAAGUUAUACUAUCAAGGAAUAUAUAGCACUAUAUCUUACCGUCAGGUUUCUCAAACUGCACCUCCAACAGCAAGGACUCGUAAAGAAAGCUGUAGACUGUCUUCCUGUCAUCUUUCUGCACAAACUUCCAUUCAUUCACUCUGAAACCAAAAGAGGCCAAAAAUGUAAUUCAAAGUUGAAUGGAAUAGUAGGUGUAUAUGCAGGGAGGAAAAAUGUAUCCCUGUCUGGAAAAUGAGAAACUGACCUAUCCAGCAUGGCAAUAUGUUUCUCAAGUUCCAGAGUUUCCUUUCGGAGUCUGUCCACUUUGUCCACAGAGUUUAUCUUCUGUAGUUCCAAUUCACACAUUUGCCUGUGGAGAAAAACAAAUGGUUUCCAUUUCUCGGCACAUCCAGCGGAAGGGAGUAAAGUAAUACAAAUUAAAAUCUCAAUAGAGACCGUAGCUCUGGCGACGACAAAGAAAAAUCAAAUUUAUUUACACUAAAUUAUGAUUCAAGCAAUGUAGACUUACCCUUCACUUUUAGCAAUUGCUUUGUUGACCUUCUCCAACCCUGAUAGAAUGUACUCAACAUUAACAUGUCAAAUACCAUGCACACCAUUGAUUAAUAAUUCAAAAUGUAAUUCAAAAAAGAAACCCAAGAUUGUGGCGUCAUACGUUACCUUGCUGCCUUGCUUUCAAGGUUGGCUCACAGUCCUCUACUCCUGUGCCCUCCACAGCUGCAAGUUCUGUGGCAGACAGAAGAAAGAAUAAGCAUGACAAAACCUCAAAUUCAAAAUCAAUUACCACCUCUAAUACCAAAAAUUAUCUUAACAAGAUGACAAGCAUGCAUUGUGAAAAAUGAUAUUAGGUCCCUUGGUUCAAAUUGAAGUACAGUAGAGAAUAUGAAAGGCUCAAAAGGAGAUGAACACAAAUCCAAUAUACCAGCUUCCAAGUCAUGUAGACAUUCAUCAAGGUCUUUCAGACACUGAUCGGUCUUCUCAAUAUUUCCUCUCAAGUUAUGUUGUGCCUCCUGUGAAGAUGUAAUGGGACAUCAAUAAAACAGUUUAUUAGCAGAGUUUUACACACACACACACACAAAUGUGGAAAGCAUAAGUAUUUUUCAGUCAGGUUACUAGCAACAUAGUGAAGGGAUUUUUGUUCUCAUCAGGGGUCUUACCCGAGUUGUGUGCACAAGGUCAGAGUACAAAACUGCUUUCAUUUCAUGAGAUCGCACUUUGCUUCUCUUUCUGAAGAAUGUCCUCCUCUCUUUCAACUUUGAACCAAAAAGCAGCAACUGGGGAAAAUAAGCCACAACAUCAAGAGGGGUGGUCCAAAUGGAUCAUUUCUGUAUCAAACUGACUAGUAAUAGCAAGAGGGAAAUCAAUAAAUAACCAAAGACAAAGUUAAACACCUCUUCAUCUGAAAAGCCCUUCACCGCCUCCCAAAGUGUUCCAUUAACACUUUGCAGAAGACUGUCUUGGUCUCUCAGACGUACUUUCAACCUGAAAUCAGAAAGUACACCAAAGGGAUGAACAUACAUGGCUUGUUACUUACUAAGCAGGUUACAGAUUUGAGCAUUGUUUUUUACGUCAUCUUACGGUAAAUAAAAUGCAACAAAAAGCAUCACAGUGACAUGCAUAAUUAAACAUACCCCUCCACCAUUUCUGUGAGUAUCUGGCAGUCUGUCUCAUACACCCUCUGUUUGGGACGGUUGAUAUGCUUCUCGAUUAACAAGUCCUCUGUUUUGCGAUCGAGAUCCGACACAAUCUAUAAGGAGAUGAAAAUCUGUAUUUAGCACCUAUAUUUAUUGUGAGGGUCAGCAAGUAUUAUCCUUAAUAAUAAUUCCUCAAAAGUUAUUAGUAAUGACAAUUCUAAAGACAAAGGUUUAAGAUUUACUCUCGCAGGCAGAAUACUCUGUCGAGGUUUAUGGAUGACAAAGUCGAUGCUGAAGAGUUUCAGGAACUCAGCCACUGUAAUGCUGCCAUCUUGGAGUUUCUGAAAUUAAAUGUGAAAGAGCAGUGAAAACACAGUAUAAUCGGAAAUGGUAACAGGAAAAGUCAAUAUAAAAGGGAGUUGUUGACAUACCUUCCGUACAUCAGAUGUGUAGUCCCCGGUGUUGUCAAGCAGGGACUCGAAUUGGCUUUGUCUGUAAGCUGCAAAAUGGCAUCAAGUUAGUAUUGCCUAUCUAACCUAGACAAUGCACUUUAAAAGGGAUCAAGACAGACAAGGCUAUGACGAAUGUUUGAAUGAGACAGUCAAAAUAAGCAGUAGUAAAAGCGCCUCAAAACUCACUUGACUCAAAUGUGCCCUCACAUCGGAGGUUGGAGUUGCUGCUGGAGCCAUCAGCUGCAGCUCCUGUACAGUUACUGUCCCACUGAACUACCUGUGUGUGUGGGAUCUGUCAAGAUAAAAUGUGAAAAAAAAUGUAUUAACUCGUAUUGAAUACAUUUAACAAAAUAAAUGUGAACUGAUUAAAUGAAAAACAGUAUUUACCA